RNAcentral lists this ribosomal RNA (253 nucleotides) under uncultured bacterium. Its description in RNAcentral is "partial 16S ribosomal RNA". It matches the Rfam family "Bacterial small subunit ribosomal RNA", at positions 524 to 776 of the family's 1533-position model. The record is from RNAcentral.
UACGAAGGGUGCAAACGUUGCUCGGAAUUACUGGGCGUAAAGCGCGCGUAGGCGGGUCGUUAAGUCGGGGGUGAAAUCCUGGAGCUCAACUCCAGAACUGCCUUCGAUACUGGCGAUCUUGAGUCCGGGAGAGGUGAGUGGAACUCCGAGUGUAGAGGUGAAAUUCGUAGAUAUUCGGAAGAACACCAGUGGCGAAGGCGGCUCACUGGCCCGGUACUGACGCUGAGGUGCGAAAGCGUGGGGAGCAAACAGG